CCAGACUCCUACGGGAGGCAGCAGUGGGGAAUAUUGGGCAAUGGGGGAAACCCUGACCCAGCGACGCCGCGUGAGGGAAGAAGGUUUUCAGAUUGUAAACCUCUGUCCUUGGUGACGAUAAUGACGGUAGCCAAGGAGGAAGCCACGGCUAACUACGUGCCAGCAGCCGCGGUAAUACGGAGGAUGCGAGCGUUAUCCGGAUUUAUUGGGUUUAAAGGGUGCGUAGGCGGGCUUUUAAGUCAGCGGUAAAAAUUCGGGGCUCAACCCCGUCCGGCCGUUGAAACUGGGGGCCUUGAGUGGGCGAGAAGAAGGCGGAAUGCGUGGUGUAGCGGUGAAAUGCAUAGAUAUCACGCAGAACCCCGAUUGCGAAGGCAGCCUUCCGGCGCCCUACUGACGCUGAGGCACGAAAGUGCGGGGAUCGAACAGGAUUAGAUACCCGAGUAUC
This 445-nucleotide ribosomal RNA is filed under the name uncultured bacterium. Its description in RNAcentral is "partial 16S ribosomal RNA". It matches the Rfam family "Bacterial small subunit ribosomal RNA", at positions 331 to 795 of the family's 1533-position model. The record is from RNAcentral.